ACGGGGGGGGCAAGCGUUGUUCGGAAUUACUGGGCGUAAAGGGAGCGUAGGCGGCCAUGUAAGUGAGGUGUUAAAUCCCCCGGCUCAACCGGGGACCUGCACCUCAUACUGCACGGCUUGAGUACAUCAGAGGAGACUGGAAUUCCCGGUGUAGCGGUGAAAUGCGUAGAUAUCGGGAGGAACAUCCGUGGCGAAGGCGGCCAUCUGGAUCAACACUGACGCUGAGGCACGAAAGCGUGGGGAGCAAACAGGA
Molecule: ribosomal RNA, 253 nt
Filed under: uncultured prokaryote
Description: partial 16S ribosomal RNA
Rfam family: Bacterial small subunit ribosomal RNA
Source: RNAcentral